Non-coding RNA from Tulasnella sp. 403, 87 nucleotides. The record is from the annotation of a GenBank genome assembly. Lineage: Eukaryota; Fungi; Basidiomycota; Agaricomycetes; Cantharellales; Tulasnellaceae.
GACUCGAUGGUGUAGUUGGUUAUCACUUCUGUCUAACAAGCAAACUUGUUCCACAGGCGGUCGUCAGUUCGAGUCUGGCUCGAGUCA